UACGUAGGGUGCAAGCGUUGUCCGGAAUUAUUGGGCGUAAAGAGCUCGUAGGCGGUUUGUCGCGUCUGCUGUGAAAACUCGGGGCUUAACCCCGGGCCUGCAGUGGGUACGGGCAGACUAGAGUGCGGUAGGGGAGACUGGAAUUCCUGGUGUAGCGGCGAAAUGCGCAGAUAUCAGGAGGAACACCGGUGGCGAAGGCGGGUCUCUGGGCCGUAACUGACACUGAGGAACGAAAGCCAGGGGAGCAAACGGG
This 253-nucleotide ribosomal RNA is filed under the name uncultured bacterium. RNAcentral describes it as "partial 16S ribosomal RNA". It matches the Rfam family "Bacterial small subunit ribosomal RNA", at positions 524 to 776 of the family's 1533-position model. The record is from RNAcentral.